This 65-nucleotide transfer RNA is filed under the name Gemmatimonadota bacterium. RNAcentral describes it as "Gemmatimonadetes bacterium tRNA-Gly". It matches the Rfam family "tRNA", at positions 10 to 71 of the family's 71-position model. Rfam says of the family: Transfer RNA (tRNA) molecules are approximately 80 nucleotides in length. The record is from RNAcentral. Lineage: Bacteria; Pseudomonadati; Gemmatimonadota.
GCUGGUGGGCGGAGAGCACAACCUUGCCAAGGUUGGGGUCGCGGGUUCGAGUCCCGUUUCCCGCU